RNAcentral lists this unclassified non-coding RNA (563 nucleotides) under Hevea brasiliensis (rubber tree). Lineage: Eukaryota; Viridiplantae; Streptophyta; Magnoliopsida; Malpighiales; Euphorbiaceae. The record is from RNAcentral.
CGGCGGAGCACCGGGCGCCGAAUAUGAUGCAGCGGGUCAUCAGCCUCUUCAGCAGCGUUCGACCCGGAUCCGAUCUCACCAACUUUCAGCUUCCUCCUCUCUUCAACCUACCAAAGUCACAGCUUCAAUGCUAUGGGGAAGCCGUGUAUUGUGUUGGUGAGGACUUCUUGAGCAGGUGUGCUCAGGGGAAGAACAGCCUCGAGAGGUUCACCUCUGUUGUUGCCUGGAGCAUAUCAACCACACGGCCUGCACUUUUUGGCUCGGCUCCUUAUAAUCCCAUCCUUGGAGAGACCCAUCAUGUUUCGAAUGGAAAUCUCAAUGUUCUCCUUGAACAGGUCUCACAUCAUCCUCCAGUGUCGGCUCUCCAUGCAACUGACGAAAAGGAGAAGGUAGAACUAGUAUGGUGGCAUAAUCCGGUACCCAAGUACUAUGGCACCAGUGUCGAAGCCGUCAUCAAUGGAAAGCGGCAUUUGAGACUUUUGAGUUUUGGUGAGAACUAUGAGAUGGAUUCACCAAGAUUGCUAAUCAAAAUACUUCCACGACCAAGUGCUGAUUGGGUUGGG